AGCGAACGCUGGCGGCAGGCCUAACACAUGCAAGUCGAACGAACUCUUCGGAGUUAGUGGCGGACGGGGGAGUAACACGUGGGAACGUGCCUUUUGGUUCGGAAUAACUCAGGGAAACUUGUGCUAAUACCGAAUGUGCUCUUCGGGGGAAAGAUUUAUCGCCAUUAGAGCGGCCCGCGUCUGAUUAGCUAGUUGGUGAGGUAACGGCUCACCAAGGCGACGAUCAGUAGCUGGUCUGAGAGGAUGACCAGCCACACUGGGACUGAGACACGGCCCAGACUCCUACGGGAGGCAGCAGUGGGGAAUCUUGCGCAAUGGGCGAAAGCCUGACGCAGCCAUGCCGCGUGAAUGAUGAAGGUCUUAGGAUUGUAAAAUUCUUUCACCGGGGACGAUAAUGACGGUACCCGGAGAAGAAGCCCCGGCUAACUUCGUG
RNAcentral lists this ribosomal RNA (433 nucleotides) under uncultured bacterium. RNAcentral describes it as "partial 16S ribosomal RNA". It matches the Rfam family "Bacterial small subunit ribosomal RNA", at positions 29 to 507 of the family's 1533-position model. The record is from RNAcentral.